Molecule: ribosomal RNA, 253 nt
Filed under: uncultured bacterium
Lineage: Bacteria
Description: partial 16S ribosomal RNA
Rfam family: Bacterial small subunit ribosomal RNA
Source: RNAcentral
GACGGAGGGUGCGAGCGUUAAUCGGAAUUACUGGGCGUAAAGCGCAUGUAGGCGGCCGAACAAGUCAGGUGUGAAAUCCUCGGGCUUAACCUGGGAAGUGCACUUGAUACUGUCCGGCUAGAGUUUGGCAGAGGAAAGUAGAAUUCCCGGUGUAGCGGUGAAAUGCGGAGAUAUCGGGAGGAAUACCAGUGGCGAAGGCGGUGGUCUGGGCCAAUACUGACGCUGAGGAGCGAAAGCGUGGGGAGCGAACAGG